GUCGAGGUUUCCGCUAGGGUUUCCAUUUCCCCCAGUUUCUCAGCUGAAUCGGAGAGAGAUGGAGACGUCUCUGAGGUGCGGCGGCGACCCCCGAUCUCUCAAAAUCCAUGCCAAGGAGAAGUUCUUCGUCGACUCCAAAACCCUCGUCCAGGCUCAAGGAGAAAUAGAUACCUGCACUGCGACCCCAACUUAUCUUGCUCUGAUUUUUAGAAAUUUCUAUCCCGAGCUAUCUGCUAGCAU
Molecule: unclassified non-coding RNA, 240 nt
Filed under: Hevea brasiliensis (rubber tree)
Lineage: Eukaryota; Viridiplantae; Streptophyta; Magnoliopsida; Malpighiales; Euphorbiaceae
Source: RNAcentral